Non-coding RNA from Xyrichtys novacula (pearly razorfish), 844 nucleotides. NCBI's taxonomy places the organism in Eukaryota, Metazoa, Chordata, Actinopteri, Labriformes, Labridae. The record is from the annotation of a GenBank genome assembly.
GCUGAUCGUAACCAUUCAAGUCAACGUGUCAAUUUCCACCGACUUCUUUCCGUUCCUCUGCUGAUCGCCGGACUCCUCAGCUGAUCACAAGAGUUCUAUUUUUUCUGGACACCGGAGCAUGGCGGAUAAAUUCAGCACAGAUUAACCCGUGCUGGAAAGGAAGUCGGGCACAGACACAAAAUAACAUCCUGACCUACAACACUUUUUUCCUCAGGUUGGAAACAAGCGUGCUCACCUCUAGACUUUAAAAGUUACCUGAACAUUUUGUCACUUUUUAUUUCAUCCAUCUAUCACUUCUUACUUUACAAAAUUGUGAUGGGUCAGUCCAAUUCACCGCAGCAGUCCACAGGAGCUCGUUCUUGAAUGUCGCCCCCUGAUUUCCUUCCUCUCUCCAUGAUCCUCUCUCUUCUGAACAGCUUGCAGAUGCUUCCUGUUCUGGUGGAUUUCUAACUUCUGUCUUUCUUUCUGUCUUUCUUGCCAGGAUUACUUGGAUUGGGUCGGCUUGUUCAGAAGAGAUUCACACCUCAAAAAUGUAAAAGCAGGAAACUUCUUGUGAAAUGCACGGCUGUGUCAUUACUAAAUAAAAGCAGAAAGGAGAGGGUUCAUCCUCUCUCUGUAUUUUCUCUCAGUUAACUGUAAAUGAAGACAGAGCUCCCAUCUCCUCCAGAUGCUCUCCUGUUAUAAGACUGGAAACAGCAUUUUUCUUGGACAUGUUUCAUUUUCCAGGUCCGGGUCUGUCUGACUCCCGGGUCUCUGUCAUGAUCUCUGGCUCUGGGUGUCACCAACAGAUGGCGCAUCAUCAACAAACCUUUAUUGACUCUGCUGGAGAUCAGAAGUCACACCU